GUGUCUAAACACUGGGUGGUUUAAGGAAUUUUGAGGGAACCAAAAAAAAAAUAGAGAAAAGGGGGGGAGCAGAGAACGGCUAGGGUUUCAGGGAGAAAAGAAACGAAACAAAAGAAGAGAAAAAAAGCUAGCGGUGGAGGAAAAAAAAGGGAGAAGGGGGCUGAGCAAAACGGAAGAAAAAGGGCAACGGUAAAAAACUAGAAGAAAUUGAGAGCUUGGGAAGAGGCAAGAAAGGCAGCUUCGGGCGGUGGGGGAAGUAAAAAAAAAAAACAGAGAGGAAGGCUGGCGGAAGAACAGAGCAAGGUAGGAGGAAAACGAGAAAAAGCAAAGAAAUGGGCUUCGGGCGGCUUCGGGCUGAAACGGAUGAAGAGGAAACCAGGACAAGAAAGGCAAAAACAAUUGGUGGCUAGGAAAAAGGAGUGACGGAAGAAAAGAAAAAGGCAGCGAAGGCCAAGAGAGAAAAAACAGAGAAGGUAACCAGAAAAAUAGGGAAAAUGGGCGGAGGAAAAGAAGAAGAAAGCAAGGGACGGAGGAAGAACCGGAGCCGGCACCACCUCGUCGAAUUCCACCACUGCCACCUAUGAAUCUUCACCGUGAGAGACCACUGUAAGUUAUCACCUUCCUUUACAUUUUAGUGUUCCUCCAAGCACGGGCCAUGAAAGUUUUCAAAGCAUGUCUGCCGCGAGCUGUCAAUUCAAUUUUCAUGUUGAUUGUUCAUGGAUUUUAGAAUAUAUAUGCCUUAUGUGUUAAAUUGGUUUGAAUUACUUGGGAUUUCUGAUAAUUUUGGGUGCUGAGUUAUGUCAAUUGCGCGAGAAAUUGGUGAAAUUUUAAUGGCCAUUUGUUGUUCGAUGAAAUGCUCCAUUGAGAGUUCGGCCUGAAGGAUGGACUAAUUUUUGUUUUUGUAUACACUCGACCAGUCCAAACGAGACUUGUGGAAAAUUUUGAUGUGUUUACUUUUUGUGCAUUUCAUGUCUUUCUUACCCUUUCUCUGGUAUGAAUCAGAGUCACAUCUUGACAUUGUAUGAGAAUAAGUUUGUAUGAGUUUUUUUUUUUCCUUUUUUUGGGGAGUGGCCAGAGUUGAGCUUUCUGGUAUUCUUCAUUCGCAAAGAAAGACGGAAAUGGAAGCUGACGCUUGAUCUAUUUGGAGAAGAUAAUUGCUUGUUUGGAUUUAUAAUUUCUGUCCCUUUAUUCUCCCUGGCUUUGUGGUUUAACCCCAGAGUUUUGAACUUCCUAAUUUGACUCCCAAAUUUCUAUAAUUUUGUCGAUUGGAUCCUUCUUUGCAUUGCAUUGGAACCCCUCAAGUCCCCCUUGUUCUGAUAUGACCCGGAAAUUGAAAAAAGUGAACUUGUUUCUCCCUUUUAGAUUUUAAUCAUCUUUUAAUAUGCAUGAGUAGUAUUUUAACUAGAUGAAUUCUUGUUUUUUAGGACAUAAUUGUGGCUUAAUAAUUUUUGUUGAUUUUAUCAUGAUCGGGUGCUUGUGAAAAGGUGAUUUGGGUUGAGAGGUUAUUUUACUUGGUUUUAAGGGAGUGGGUUUGAGUUUAUUAUUUUGGAUUUUUGGCUUGGGCUAGAGGGUCAAGACCCAUCUGUUUGGUUGGCUAAUUUUGGGCAAAAAUAAUAUACUAGCCCGCUCCAUUUGCCUUGGACUUUCAGUCGGGUUAGGAAGCCUUCGGCCCAAAGAAAGAAAAGUGGCCCAAUGACCUGAUGUUCUUAAGAAAUCAGUAAACAAAUUUGCAGAUGGGUCCUUGUACUUUCGAGUAUUUUCACUAUGGCCCAAGCAAUUAAAAAAUCCACCAAAUUGACCCCUCAAAACUUUUUCCUUGCCUUCCAAUUGGGCCCUAUUUAGUGAAUAUGGGUUGUUUAGUUUAUUUGAAUGCUUUUGUUUAAAUUUUCAAUUUCAUGUUUAUUUUAUUCCUUGAGAUUUAUUUGUUAAUUAAAGUGAUGCCUUGACCUUUUCUUUUAUUUUGGAGGGUAAAUUAGUAAUUUCACUCUAUUAGAUCUCCAAUUCAAAGGAGGUACACUCUAUCCCUUAUUUUCUCUUUAUUUGACCCUUAUGUGCACUUAUGUGUUUUAUGUGUGCAAUUGCAUGAUUUUUUUGUUUUUAUUUCAUUUUCAUUCAUUUAUUUCUUUAGUUAUUUAAUCCUACUUUAAUUUAUGUGCUUAUUCUAAUGUAAUUAUUUGAAAGGCAUUCCAAUGCCGAAUUGUAAUAGUUAGGGGGUUAUUUAUUUAUUUUUUUUCUUCCCCCUUAGAUUGUAGUAGGUUCGCCCCAACUGUAAUAGAUAGGGCUUAUGUGCUAUGUGCUUGUGUGUGCCUAUGUGUUUAUCGCUUUCCUAGGCCUUUGCAUCUAGAUGAGCAUGCUUGUAUGCUACGUGCUAUGUAAAACUAGGUGCUUUGCAUAUCUAUUUGCUUUAGUAUUAUAUUUGAUUAUGUGGAAGAAUGCACAUUACCAUAGUUAGUCCAAUACUAAUUAUGGUCUUCCUCUCGAGCCCUCAUAAGUCCAAUGCUUAUGAGAGAGCGUUAGUAAAGGGCUAGUCUAAUGCUAGACCCAAUAGAACCGUCCCCCUUUUCGCUAGUGUCAUAUUUGCAUGCUUCACUACAAUUUCAUUUUCAUUUUAGUAUUUCUCAUUUCUGCGUGCUCCUCUAACCUUUCUCCUAUAUAUCUAGGAUUGCAUUCUCAUUUUAGACUAGUUCAUUUGCUUGUAUAGGUUAGAAAGUUACCUUUCUGGUAAGGGAAACAGACAAAUAUGGCUACACAUAGCCUUAGCACGCUUGUUUUCUUUCUAACGAAAAGGCAAAUCAAAAGUCACGAUUUAGGGUCUCCCCAUACCCGUUUUGCUUGCAUUCCUUUGGGGUUCAUGCAUUUCUAAGGCACAUUACCAUUUGCACACUCCCACUUUACACUAUCAUUUUUUCAUUAUGAUUUCACACACUCUCAUUUUAUACAUUCUCACUCCGCACACUACCACUUCACCCACUAUUAAUUCACACGUUCUCACUUUACUUUACACUCUCUCACAUCUACCCAUUUACAUUUUUUCACACUCAUUUGCACCCUUGCACUUUACACACCCACUUGAACACAUCCUUCUAAGGUUUGGUGAUGCAAAGAGAUUAUGGGUUCGAACCCUGCCUCCCUCAAAAAUUGUCAUAAUAUGUGACGGUGUUCUUUGGCCAUCUUCGAUGGAGUUUCUACUCACAUCGAGUCUCCUCCCCCUCCCCCCUAGAAUAGGUUAGUUUAACUUAUAGAAAUCCUAUCGUUUCGACAAAAAAAAAAAAGAACACAUGCACUUUACACACCUAUUUGCACACACUUGCACUUUGUACACUUGCACCUAGCACUCGUUUUUACACUAAACAAUAUUUUCACAUACUCUCAUUUUUUUCCUCAUUUUAACUCGAGCAUUCAUUUGCAUUUUUUCGUGAUCUCUUUGAGAAUUUAUCAUUGGCUAUCACAAUUCAUGUAAUUAGGACCAAUCGAGCCUCAAAAGAGACAUUUUGUCCCAUUCAAACCAAUCACUAGAUUUAGGUUUGCAUUCAUGUUAGACACAUCCAAAUGCAAUACAUCUUUUGGAUAAAAAUUAGGAAAAUUGUCACUAAAUCAAGCAACUAACUUAGGCUAAGUUAAAGGGGUGCCUUAGACUUCGUCUUUGCCUUUCCUUUUAUCAACCGUGACCCCCGAACUCACUUUUUUGAUUUUCGUAAAUUAGGAGUCAUCUAAAAAGAUUUUAUUUUAUUUUUUUUCAAAAACUACUUUUUGGGUAAUUUGGUACACCCCAACUCAAUAUCAAGUGGCGACUCCUAUUUUUUUCGUUUAAAAACCUUUUUAGAUUAUCAUUUUGGCCAAACUGUCACAUUUAAAGUCCCAUGGCCUUUUCCUUUAUUUCUCACAUUCACACACUUCAUAUUCUUCGCACUACGCAUUAUGGUUUCAAACGACUUUUUUCUAUUUUUCAAAAAAUGGGGCGCGACAGUUUGGCGACUCCACUGGGGACUUCCUAAGUGGGUCCGAGCACUUGAUUUAGUUAUUCUUUUCCUUUUCUACCCUUUUCAUGUAUCGCAUUUGGAUGUUUAGGGUUGCAUUUUUUCUUUUUAGGAUUUUUGCAUUUCGCGCGUAUCAACUCACUUCUUCACCAAUUGGCGUGCGAUUGAUUUGAUGGAUGGAUGGUUUCAUUUGUGUGAUCCCUCGCUUUGCAUUGCAUUUGGGUGGGGGGACAUUACCCUAGAGUUUCACGUUAGAUCUCAAAUCCCUCCCCUCCAAACGAAGCGCUUGCAUACGUGCAUACGCUUUUAUUAUUUUUUACCCCUCAUUUAUUUUUCUUGUAGUGGUUUGUCACACCACUCUGCUCUAUUAGGAUUAGACGACCCACUUGGACUUGUGAUCGCGACACGAUGUGUGCAUAGCAUGAUCCGAGGGGUCAUUCAAUCUUCCGCUUUAAACUUUGGAUUGAUAGCCUUUAACUUUUAGUCGAAAGUUGAGGAUUUUUGAUAGAUUCACUCAAACACGUAGCCGUGAUACGAUGUGUGCGUAGCAGUGUUUAGGAGAUCACUCGAGCCACCGACAAAAGGUCUUGGAAUUGAUGACCCUUAACCAUGAGUCUGAAGGCUUGGGGACCUGAGUUUAUUGAAUCUAAAUGCAUUAGUGAGCCCCAGUCUCAUGCAUCCAUGGUAGUUUACGUAGGGUAGAGUCUACCUUACCCUAUUAGGGACACCAUUCACGAGGGGAGGGAUCCAACCCUUCUAUUUCUUUUAUUGCUUUAUUUUUUUGUAUUACCUUGCUACAAAUGUGUUAUGUGUAUUUGUCUGAUUGAACUAACUUUUUUUGAUUUUGUCUCCAUUGCAUUCAUAAGCCCUAGAAAAUAAGAGUUCUGGCAUGGUACUCUCUAGGAGCCUACCCUGUUUGAUAUGACACGUUUAAAUUCAAUGUUUCGCAUUGACAACAUAAAUACAUUUCAUUUUAACCUCACCCCGACAUACAAAAUGGGGUUCCUUUAGGACACGUUUCAUUGGUAUACUGCAUAUUUAGUCGCAUUGAUAAACUGGCAUCAUGCAUCCACCUUAGAAGGGAAUGCCAUUUAGGGAAUCCCGUGUUAGGAACAAACCGCCUUGUGUCUCGGAUAUAUAAUCUAAUAAAACUUGCACGUUUGUAUUUCCUGUACCAUCCAAAGAGGUAGUGCACGAGGUAAGGGAGGAUCCGAUCUUUUCAAAGACGACAAAACAAUUUUUGCACAUUAGAAUAUGGGCAUCUAACAAUCAUCUUUGGGCCAUUUUAAACAAAUUUGGUAAAAAAUUCCCUUAUGUAAAGGACAUUAAUUUGAAAAAAUUCACAAAUGAUUCCUUAUUAUUGAGACAAUAAAUAUAGAGGCCAAAUCUUGAUUUUAGGAGACUCAUAGACUAAUGCAUUGCAAUGAUUUUUUGAUACUACCAAUGGGUAGAUAAUUCAAUCGAUUUUUGAAUAAAUCAUUAAUUUCAUCCAAUCCAUUUUGUCAAUUCAUUCAAUUUUAGGACAAUCUAAUCAUUUUUGAAUAAAUCAUUAACUCUAUUUCAUUCAUUUGGCCAAUUUACCCAUUUUUAGGGCAAUCGAUUCGAUUUUGAAGAGAUCAUCAAUUUCAUUCAAUUCAGUUGACCAGUCUACCUAUUUUUAGUGCAAUUCGGUCGAUUUUGAAUAAAUCAUCAAUUUUAUCCUAUCCAUUUGACCCGUUUUUUCCCCUUUAGGGUUUAUGUCUAAGGUUCACUGAAUAAAUUAAUCGAGACAUUGCAAUCUCUUUUACACAUCAUUUUACGUGUUGAUCAAAGCAGGCAAUCCAUUCGAAAUUUGUCCUCAUUUUUCAGGACAAAUGUCUCUUCUCACUCCAAUUGAUCAAAUUUUUUCAAAUCAUUUUUCACUCAAUCAGUUGAUCGGAUUCAUCAGGUAUUGUAUGGUACAUAUUCUAAAGGAUUGCAUUUUCAUACUAAACCUAUCCUUGGCAUAAAAGGGUUUCCCCCAUAGGACAUGCAUACCGAUUUUAUAGUCUUACUUAAUAACUCAGGGUAUUUUUUCUUUUAUUUUUUCCCUCCCCUGCAUUCAUAAAAAUACUUUAAUAAGAUGAAAAUAUUUUUCUAUGUCUGAUAAAAUUUGAAAAUUACAAGUAUUACUUGAUUCCUGGGCAGGCUUUGCAAUGAAAAUAUGAAGGAUCUAUCUGGAAGCGUUAAGCUAAAGUCUCUAAGAGAUUUCAUAAUUGUUUUUCAAAGAAAAAUUAUGUAUAUUUGACUUGUUAAUAUAUUUGUCCCAAAAGAAAAGGAGACAAAAACUGUAUAUGUGGAGCUUUUUAGAAAUUUUUCUCUUCUUAUUUGAAUUAUAAUUGAACGAGAAAUUUUGAUUUAAACUUUUUCAGCAAUAAAGUUUUUGGACAAUUAUUGUUUUGUGUAUAUUCAUGUACAUUUCAUUCUUUAUUUUUGCUCAUUGGAGAUUUCAUGAUGAAUUUUAAAAAAUAAGACCAAAUUGAGAUUUUUUCAACCUCUAGGCUGAAAAUCAC
Molecule: long non-coding RNA, 6508 nt
Filed under: Coffea arabica (coffee)
Lineage: Eukaryota; Viridiplantae; Streptophyta; Magnoliopsida; Gentianales; Rubiaceae
Description: long non-coding RNA (CARA_LNC007343)
Source: RNAcentral